CUGCGAGAUCCAGUCGAUUGAUGUCAACCCCAGAAAAGAGAUGCGCCACCAAAGCCUUACAGGCAUUGAAACUAUAUCCGAAAGCUGCCAAAGAGGCCUUAGUGACCUCAUCCUUGAACUCCUCGGAGCCUUGUACUCGACAACUUUCAACUUGACCUUGGCGACUGCCUCGGCGAUUACCUUUGCCUCGUCAACUUCUGCCCA
RNAcentral lists this long non-coding RNA (204 nucleotides) under Elaeis guineensis (African oil palm). RNAcentral describes it as "long non-coding RNA (EGUI_LNC070488)". Lineage: Eukaryota; Viridiplantae; Streptophyta; Magnoliopsida; Arecales; Arecaceae. The record is from RNAcentral.